GGUCAAGCUCCGUAAGGGCGUGGGGGGGAUGCCUAGGCGUCAUCUGGCAAGCGGGCGUUGCAGGCUGCGAUAUGCUCGGGGAAGUGGCCAACCACGCAUUGAUCCCGAGAUCCCCGCUGGAACCCAGGGAACUGAAACAUCUCAGUACCUGGAGGAAAAGAAAUCAACCGAGACUCCCUCAGUAGCGGCGAGCGAACGGGGACCAGCCUAAACCGUCGGGCACACCCGACGGGGUUGCGGGACCGACAUUACGAGACCUUUGCUUCUAGCCGAAACCGCCUGGAAAGGCGUGCCAAAGCGGGUGACAGCCCCGUAGGCGACCGAAGUGAUGGCUCAGUCGGCACCCAAGUAGGGUCGGGCACGUGAAACCCGGCCUGAAUCUGGGGGGACCUUCCUCCAAGGCUCAGUACACGAUGACGACCGAUAGCGAACCCAGUAGGGCGACCGAACGGUGGGAAGAACCCCGAUGAGGGGAGGACACUGAACCUGAAACCCCAUGCCUACAAGCGGUGGAAGGGCGUUGACGCCUAACCGCGUGCCUUUUGCAUAAUGAUCCGGCGAGUUAUGGUGCCCGGCCACCAGGUUAACCGCCUCAGGCGGGGAGCCGAAGGGAAACCAAGUCCUAAAAGGGCGACCAGUCGGACGCCAUAGACGCGAAACCAGGUGAUCUACCCAUGGGCAGGUUGAAGCGACCCUAACCGGUCGUGGAGGACCGAACCCACCAGUGUUGAAAAACUGGGGGAGGACCUGUGGGGAGGAGUGAAAGUCUUAUCAAACCUGGAGAUAGCUCGUUCUCUCCGAAAUGGCUUGAGGGCCAGCCUCGGGACCUAGCUCAGGGGUGUAGAGCGACGGAAUUCGUUUGGGGGGCUCCCCGCCUACCCGGCGAAACCCAACUCCGAAGACCCUGAACCGAAUCCCGGGAGUCAGAGCGUGGGGGAGAAGCUUCACGCUCGAGAGGGCAACAACCCAGACCGCCGACCAAGGCCCCCAAACGACGCUCAGUGGCAAAGGAAGUGGGAUCGCGGUGACAGCCGGGAUGUUGGCUUAGAAGCAGCCACCAUUUCAACAGUGCGUAAUAGCUGACCGGCCGAGCCAUCCCGCGCCGAAAAUGACGGGGACUCAAGCGUCGUGCCGCAGUCGCGGAUUCGUCAAGAAUGGUAGGAGAGCGUUGCACACCGCGUCGAAGCGGGACGGGAACGACCCGUGGAGCGUGUGCAAGUGCGUAUGCCGGAACGAGUAACGACAAGGGGGGUGGGAAGCCCCCCCGCCGAAAGCACAAGGGUUCCUGGGGAAGGUCAAUCCGCCCAGGGUCAGCCGGGACCUAAGAAUGCCUCCGACCGGAGGGUUCGAUGGACAGGGGGCCAACAUUCCUCCGCCCGGCGGGAAGGACGAUUCGGAGAGGACGCCGCGUCAGGGAACGGCGGGGUGCUGGAAACCCCCGCGCCGCAAGGCCGACGGCUGGACCGGAAGCGAACCCCCAAGCGGCCACGAAAAGCCCUCCGAGGACAACCCGUCGGCCCGUACCGCAAUCCGACACAGGUGUGCCUGGCGAGUAUCCUCAGGCGUUCGGGAGAACCCUCGUGAAGGAACUCGGCAAAAUGACCCCGUACCCUCGGUACAAGGGGUGCUCCCGGCCACGGGAGCCGCAGAGAAUCGGCUCUGGCGACUGUUUAUCAAAAACACAGGACUCUGCUAACUCGUAAGAGGAUGUAUAGAGUCUGACGCCUGCUCGGUGUCGGUAGGUUAAGGAAGCCAGUUAGCGCAAGCAAAGCCGGCGACCGAAGCCCCGAUAAACGGCGGCCGUAACUAUGACGGUCCUAAGGUAGCGAAGUUCCUUGUCGGGUAAGUUCCGACCUGCAUGAAUGGCGUAACGACCGGAGCACUGUCUCCACGAGGGACCCGGUGAAACUGUAGCCGUGGUGAAGAUGCCACGUUCCCGCGGUCAGACGGAAAGACCCCGUGAACCUUGACUGCAGGUUGGCGCUGGGCCUGGGUUCGUUUUGUGUAGGAUAGGUGGGAGGCUGUGAAUCCGCUCCGUCAGGAGUGGAGGAGCCGUCGGUGAAAUACCACCCUGAACGCACUUUGGUCCUCACCGGCAUCAGCCGGGACCACGCUCAUCGGGCAGUUUGACUGGGGCGGUCUCCUCCUAAAGAGUAACGGAGGAGCGCAAUGGUACCCUCAGCCCGGUCGGCAAUCGGGCAACACGAGCGCAAGAGUAGAAGGGUGCCUGACUGUGAGAGGGCUGCCUCGAACAGAGACGAAAGUCGGCUCUAGUGAUCCGGCGGUUCCGUAAGGAAGGGCCGUCGCUCAACAGAUAAAAGGUACUCCGGGGAUAACAGGCUAAUCUCCUCCGAGCGUCCAUAGCGGCGAGGAGGUUUGGCACCUCGAUGUCGGCUCAUCGCAUCCUGGGGCUGGAGAAGGUCCCAAGGGUUUGGCUGUUCGCCAAUGAAAGCGGUACGCGAGCUGGGUUCAGACCGUCGUGAGACAGGUCGGUCCCUAUCUGCCGUGGGCGUGGGAAGCUUGAGGAGGGUCUCCCCUAGUACGAGAGGAUUGGGGAGGACCGACCUCUGGUGUGCCGGCUGUCCCGCCCGGGGCAUCGCCGGGUAGCCAGGUCGGGAUCGGAUAAGCGCUGAAAGCAUCUAAGCGCGAAGCCAUCUCCAAGAUGAGGCUUCCAGUCGUAAGACGAAGGCUCCUGGAAGACGACCAGGUCGAUAGGCGGGAUGUGCAAGGCGAGUGAUCGUCUCAGCCGACCCGUCCUAACAGCCAACGGCUUGACCAC
Isosphaera pallida ATCC 43644 is the source of this 2779-nucleotide ribosomal RNA. It matches the Rfam family "Bacterial large subunit ribosomal RNA". The record is from Rfam. Lineage: Bacteria; Pseudomonadati; Planctomycetota; Planctomycetia; Isosphaerales; Isosphaeraceae.